GUAGGUGGCAAGCGUUGUCCGGAAUUAUUGGGCGUAAAGCGCGCGCAGGCGGUCCUUUAAGUCUGAUGUGAAAGCCCACGGCUCAACCGUGGAGGGUCAUUGGAAACUGGGGGACUUGAGUACAGAAGAGGAAAGCGGAAUUCCAAGUGUAGCGGUGAAAUGCGUAGAGAUUUGGAGGAACACCAGUGGCGAAGGCGGCUUUCUGGCCUGUAACUGACGCUGAGGCGCGAAAGCGUGGGGAGCAAACAGGGAUUAGAUACCCUGGUAGUCCACGCCGUAAACGAUGAGUGCUAAGUGUUAGGGGGUUUCCCGCCCCUUAGUGCUGCAGCUAACGCAUUAAGCACUCCGCCUGGGGAUACGGCCGCAAGGCUG
Molecule: ribosomal RNA, 372 nt
Filed under: uncultured organism
Description: partial 16S ribosomal RNA
Rfam family: Bacterial small subunit ribosomal RNA
Source: RNAcentral